RNAcentral lists this ribosomal RNA (180 nucleotides) under Triticum aestivum (bread wheat). RNAcentral describes it as "partial small subunit ribosomal RNA". The record is from RNAcentral. Lineage: Eukaryota; Viridiplantae; Streptophyta; Magnoliopsida; Poales; Poaceae.
AAGGCGCUGGCCUCUCUGAUGAUGCUCAUCUCAUGGAAGAUUUGGACCGAACGCAAUGCUAGAGUCUUUCGUAACACGGUCGUCCCUUCGAUUGUUCUCAUUUCCAGGAUUAAAGACGAGGUGUCUCUUUGGGCUUUGGCCGGUGCGAAGCCGUUGGGUAUUGUAAUGCCGCGAGAGUAG